This 440-nucleotide ribosomal RNA is filed under the name uncultured bacterium. Its description in RNAcentral is "partial 16S ribosomal RNA". It matches the Rfam family "Bacterial small subunit ribosomal RNA", at positions 338 to 795 of the family's 1533-position model. The record is from RNAcentral.
CCUACGGGCGGCUGCAGUAGGGAAUAUUGCUCAAUGGGGGAAACCCUGAAGCAGCAACGCCGCGUGGAGGAUGAAGGUUCUCGGAUUGUAAACUCCUUUUGUUAGAGAAGAUAAUGACGGUAUCUAACGAAUAAGCACCGGCUAACUCCGUGCCAGCAGCCGCGGUAAUACGGAGGGUGCAAGCGUUACGCGGAAUCACUGGGCGUAAAGAGCGCGUAGGCGGGAUAGCAAGUCAGAUGUGAAAUCCUAUGGCUUAACCAUAGAACUGCAUUUGAAACUGUUAGUCUAGAGUAUAGGAGAGGUAGGUGGAAUUCUUGGUGUAGGGGUAAAAUCCUUAGAGAUCAAGAGGAAUACUCAUUGCGAAGGCGACCUGCUAGAACAUAACUGACGCUGAUGCGCGAAAGCGUGGGGAGCAAACAGGAUUAGAUACCCUUGUAGUC